UAUUGCACAAUGGGCGCAAGCCUGAUGCAGCCAUGCCGCGUGUGUGAAGAAGGCCUUCGGGUUGUAAAGCACUUUCAGUCAGGAGGAAAGGUUAGUAGUUAAUACCUGCUAGCUGUGACGUUACUGACAGAAGAAGCACCGGCUAACUCCGUGCCAGCAGCCGCGGUAAUACGGAGGGUGCGAGCGUUAAUCGGAAUUACUGGGCGUAAAGCGUACGCAGGCGGUUUGUUAAGCGAGAUGUGAAAGCCCCGGGCUCAACCUGGGAACUGCAUUUCGAACUGGCAAACUAGAGUGUGAUAGAGGGUGGUAGAAUUUCAGGUGUAGCGGUGAAAUGCGUAGAGAUCUGAAGGAAUACCGAUGGCGAAGGCAGCCACCUGGGUCAACACUGACGCUCAUGACGAAA
Molecule: ribosomal RNA, 403 nt
Filed under: uncultured bacterium
Lineage: Bacteria
Description: bacterial SSU rRNA
Rfam family: Bacterial small subunit ribosomal RNA
Source: RNAcentral